AUUGAACGCUGGCGGCAGGCCUAACACAUGCCAGUCGAGCGGAUGAAGGGAGCUUGCUCCUGGAUUCAGCGGCGGACGGGUGAGUAAUGCCUAGGAAUCUGCCUGGUCGUGGGGGAUAACGUCCGGAAACGGGCGCUAAUACCGCAUACGUCCUGAUGGAGAAAGUGGGGGAUCUUCGGACCUCACGCUAUCAGAUGAGCCUAGGUCGGAUUAGCUAGUUGGUGGGGUAAAGGCCUACCAAGGCGACGAUCCGUAACUGGUCUGAGAGGAUGAUCAGUCACACUGGAACUGAGACACGGUCCAGACUCCUACGGGAGGCAGCAGUGGGGAAUAUUGGACAAUGGGCGAAAGCCUGACCCAGCCAUGCCGCGUGUGUGAAGAAGGUCUUCGGAUUGUAAAGCACUUUAAGUAGGGAGGAAGGGCAGUAAGUGAAUACCUGGCUGUUUUGACGUUACCAACAGAAUAAGCACCGGCUAACUUCGUG
This 484-nucleotide ribosomal RNA is filed under the name uncultured bacterium. RNAcentral's name for it is "partial 16S ribosomal RNA". It matches the Rfam family "Bacterial small subunit ribosomal RNA", at positions 30 to 507 of the family's 1533-position model. The record is from RNAcentral.